UUAGAGACCGGCGCACGGGUGCGUAACGCGUAUGCAAUCUACCUUUCACAGAGGGAUAGCCCAGAGAAAUUUGGAUUAAUACCUCAUAGUAUAGCAGUUUCGCAUGAAACCACUAUUAAAGUCACAACGGUGAAAGAUGAGCAUGCGUCCCAUUAGCUAGUUGGUAAGGUAACGGCUUACCAAGGCAACGAUGGGUAGGGGUCCUGAGAGGGAGAUCCCCCACACUGGUACUGAGACACGGACCAGACUCCUACGGGAGGCAGCAGUGAGGAAUAUUGGACAAUGGGCGCAAGCCUGAUCCAGCCAUGCCGCGUGCAGGAUGACGGUCCUAUGGAUUGUAAACUGCUUUUAUACGAGAAGAAACCCUCCGACGUGUCGGAGCUUGACGGUAUCGUAAGAAUAAGGAUCGGCUAACUCCGUGCCAGCAGCCGCGGUAAUACGGAGGAUCCAAGCGUUAUCCGGAAUCAUUGGGUUUAAAGGGUCCGUAGGCGGUCAGGUAAGUCAGUGGUGAAAGCCCAUCGCUCAACGGUGGAACGGCCAUUGAUACUGUCUGACUUGAAUUAUUAGGAAGUAACUAGAAUAUGUAGUGUAGCGGUGAAAUGCUUAGAGAUUACAUGGAAUACCAAUUGCGAAGGCAGGUUACUACUAAUGGAUUGACGCUGAUGGACG
RNAcentral lists this ribosomal RNA (669 nucleotides) under Flavobacterium sp. B708_1. RNAcentral's name for it is "bacterial SSU rRNA". It matches the Rfam family "Bacterial small subunit ribosomal RNA", at positions 88 to 755 of the family's 1533-position model. Lineage: Bacteria; Pseudomonadati; Bacteroidota; Flavobacteriia; Flavobacteriales; Flavobacteriaceae. The record is from RNAcentral.